This 279-nucleotide long non-coding RNA is filed under the name Mytilus galloprovincialis (Mediterranean mussel). The record is from RNAcentral. Lineage: Eukaryota; Metazoa; Mollusca; Bivalvia; Mytilida; Mytilidae.
GGAAUUAUAUGAGGUCUGACAUUCAGUCCUACCAAGGCUAGUCAAGCUUACUACCUCCCUGUAAAUGAGCGCAAACUACAUGCCUUCUUAUACUAAGAGUGAUUUGAAGUAUUAAUUGCUCUAUUUUUACUUUCCAACGUUGGGCACGAUGUUCCUACAACCCCUAGAAUUUAAACAGAAUCUUCGACAUUUCAUACGCAAAACAAUAUAAAAAUGUUAGAAAACACGAACCAAUAUUAAAACAAAUUCAACAUAUGUUUUAAAUUAUGUUUUACAGCC